Molecule: ribosomal RNA, 384 nt
Filed under: uncultured bacterium
Lineage: Bacteria
Description: bacterial SSU rRNA
Rfam family: Bacterial small subunit ribosomal RNA
Source: RNAcentral
AUUGAACGCUGGCGGAAUGCUUUACACAUGCAAGUCGAACGGCAGCACGGGGCAACCUGGUGGCGAGUGGCGAACGGGUGAGUAAUAUAUCGGAACGUGCCCAAUCGUGGGGGAUAACGUAGCGAAAGUUACGCUAAUACCGCAUACGAUCUACGGAUGAAAGCGGGGGAUCGCAAGACCUCGCGCGAAUGGAGCGGCCGAUAUCAGAUUAGGUAGUUGGUGGGGUAAAGGCUCACCAAGCCAACGAUCUGUAGCUGGUCUGAGAGGACGACCAGCCACACUGGAACUGAGACACGGUCCAGACUCCUACGGGAGGCAGCAGUGGGGAAUUUUGGGACAAUGGGCGACAAGCCUGAUCAGCAUUCCGCGUGCAGGAUGAAGGCC